Molecule: ribosomal RNA, 1428 nt
Filed under: Lactiplantibacillus plantarum
Lineage: Bacteria; Bacillati; Bacillota; Bacilli; Lactobacillales; Lactobacillaceae
Description: bacterial SSU rRNA
Rfam family: Bacterial small subunit ribosomal RNA
Source: RNAcentral
AUGCAAGUCGAACGAACUCUGGUAUUGAUUGGUGCUUGCAUCAUGAUUUACAUUUGAGUGAGUGGCGAACUGGUGAGUAACACGUGGGAAACCUGCCCAGAAGCGGGGGAUAACACCUGGAAACAGAUGCUAAUACCGCAUAACAACUUGGACCGCAUGGUCCGAGCUUGAAAGAUGGCUUCGGCUAUCACUUUUGGAUGGUCCCGCGGCGUAUUAGCUAGAUGGUGGGGUAACGGCUCACCAUGGCAAUGAUACGUAGCCGACCUGAGAGGGUAAUCGGCCACAUUGGGACUGAGACACGGCCCAAACUCCUACGGGAGGCAGCAGUAGGGAAUCUUCCACAAUGGACGAAAGUCUGAUGGAGCAACGCCGCGUGAGUGAAGAAGGGUUUCGGCUCGUAAAACUCUGUUGUUAAAGAAGAACAUAUCUGAGAGUAACUGUUCAGGUAUUGACGGUAUUUAACCAGAAAGCCACGGCUAACUACGUGCCAGCAGCCGCGGUAAUACGUAGGUGGCAAGCGUUGUCCGGAUUUAUUGGGCGUAAAGCGAGCGCAGGCGGUUUUUUAAGUCUGAUGUGAAAGCCUUCGGCUCAACCGAAGAAGUGCAUCGGAAACUGGGAAACUUGAGUGCAGAAGAGGACAGUGGAACUCCAUGUGUAGCGGUGAAAUGCGUAGAUAUAUGGAAGAACACCAGUGGCGAAGGCGGCUGUCUGGUCUGUAACUGACGCUGAGGCUCGAAAGUAUGGGUAGCAAACAGGAUUAGAUACCCUGGUAGUCCAUACCGUAAACGAUGAAUGCUAAGUGUUGGAGGGUUUCCGCCCUUCAGUGCUGCAGCUAACGCAUUAAGCAUUCCGCCUGGGGAGUACGGCCGCAAGGCUGAAACUCAAAGGAAUUGACGGGGGCCCGCACAAGCGGUGGAGCAUGUGGUUUAAUUCGAAGCUACGCGAAGAACCUUACCAGGUCUUGACAUACUAUGCAAAUCUAAGAGAUUAGACGUUCCCUUCGGGGACAUGGAUACAGGUGGUGCAUGGUUGUCGUCAGCUCGUGUCGUGAGAUGUUGGGUUAAGUCCCGCAACGAGCGCAACCCUUAUUAUCAGUUGCCAGCAUUAAGUUGGGCACUCUGGUGAGACUGCCGGUGACAAACCGGAGGAAGGUGGGGAUGACGUCAAAUCAUCAUGCCCCUUAUGACCUGGGCUACACACGUGCUACAAUGGAUGGUACAACGAGUUGCGAACUCGCGAGAGUAAGCUAAUCUCUUAAAGCCAUUCUCAGUUCGGAUUGUAGGCUGCAACUCGCCUACAUGAAGUCGGAAUCGCUAGUAAUCGCGGAUCAGCAUGCCGCGGUGAAUACGUUCCCGGGCCUUGUACACACCGCCCGUCACACCAUGAGAGUUUGUAACACCCAAAGUCGGUGGGGUAACCUUUUAGGAA